RNAcentral lists this ribosomal RNA (782 nucleotides) under uncultured bacterium. RNAcentral's name for it is "bacterial SSU rRNA". It matches the Rfam family "Bacterial small subunit ribosomal RNA", at positions 66 to 848 of the family's 1533-position model. The record is from RNAcentral.
ACGGUAGUCCUUCGGGAUGAGAGUGGCGAACGGGUGAGUAAUAUAUCGGAACAUAUCCGUAAGUGGGGGAUAACGUAGAGAAAUUUACGCUAAUACCGCAUAUUCCCUGAGGGGGAAAGGAGGGGAUUCGCAAGAACCUUUCGCUGACGGAGUGGCCGAUAUCGGAUUAGCUAGUAGGUGAGGUAAAGGCUCACCUAGGCGACGAUCCGUAGCGGGUCUGAGAGGAUGAUCCGCCACACUGGAACUGAGACACGGUCCAGACUCCUACGGGAGGCAGCAGUGGGGAAUUUUGGACAAUGGGCGAAAGCCUGAUCCAGCCAUACCGCGUGAGUGAAGAAGGCCUUCGGGUUGUAAAGCUCUUUCAGCCGGAAAGAAAUCCUGCUUACUAAUACUAAGUGGGGAUGACGGUACCGGAAGAAGAAGCACCGGCUAACUACGUGCCAGCUGCCGCGGUAAUACGUAGGGUGCGAGCGUUAAUCGGAAUUACUGGGCGUAAAGCGUGCGCAGGCGGUUUUAUAAGCCAGAUGUGAAAUCCCCGGGCUUAACCUGGGAACUGCAUUUGGAACUGUAAGACUAGAGUGUAGCAGAGGGGGGUAGAAUUCCACGUGUAGCAGUGAAAUGCGUAGAGAUGUGGAGGAAUACCGAUGGCGAACGCAGCCCCUUGGGCUAACACUGACGCUCAUGCACGAAAGCGUGGGGAGCAAACAGGAUUAGAUACCCUGGUAGUCCACGCCCUAAAACGAUGUCAACUAGUGUUGGGGAAAGGAGACUUCUUUAGUACC